GAUGAAGAACGCAGCGAAAUGCGAUAAGUAAUGUGAAUUGCAGAAUUCCGUGAAUCAUCGAAUCUUUGAACGCACAUUGCGCCCCCUGGUAUUCCGGGGGGCAUGCCUGUCCGAGCGUCAUUGCAACCUUCAAGCGCGGCUUGUGUGUUGGGUCUCGUCCCCCGUGGACGGGCCCGAAAGGCAGUGGCGGCGUCCCGACAUGGUGCCCGAGCGUAUGGGAAACCUCUUCCGCUCGAAUCGGCCCAUGCGGCGCUGGUCGUAACCAAAUUUUUACCGGUUGACCUCGGAUCAGGUAGGGAUACCCGCUGAACUUAAGCAUAUCAAUAAGCGGAGGA
Molecule: unclassified non-coding RNA, 335 nt
Filed under: soil metagenome
Description: partial contains 5.8S ribosomal RNA, internal transcribed spacer 2, and large subunit ribosomal RNA
Rfam family: 5.8S ribosomal RNA (bases 1-120)
Source: RNAcentral